Non-coding RNA from Sturnus vulgaris (Common starling), 2520 nucleotides. The record is from RefSeq and is a predicted model, not a curated record. Lineage: Eukaryota; Metazoa; Chordata; Aves; Passeriformes; Sturnidae.
AUGUGAGGUUCCUCUUGGAAGACAGGGAAGUAUUGAAGCUGCAUCUAAAUGGUUGCAAAGUUAAUAUUACCUUUAAGGAAGUGUGGUUUUGCCAAAAUAAUUUUUUGUUGUUAACUCUUCCUCUGAGAUCUACAUCUUGCUCACAUUACUGUUCCCCACUUAAAAUGUUGAUACAAAUGUUUUAAGUAUUUCUUCUUUUUAGGGAGCAGUGGGAAGGGAAGGUUCUGUUGUGGUUAAACAGUUCACCUAUCUUGGUUUAUCACUGUACUGUCGCCAAACCAGGCAGUCCUGGCCUAUGCAGUACCUUCCUGUCAGUGCUGAGGAUUGAACUGCUCUUCAGUGAUUGAGAUCAUCUGCCUGCUGUUGCAGAAAACUCAUCUUUCUUUCUCUAUUUUUUCUUCCAGGAUUAUUUUGCAGCUAAUAUAGUGAUUGUCCAAGUAACUUGCAUCAUGAAAUCCAAAAAUUCCUGGAGUGGUAGAGAAAGUAGGAAUUCCUCAGCUGGAAGACAGAGAACAUGACUACCCUUCUGUCACAGUGCUUUUGCCAUGUUCGAUUUAAACCAUCCUGAAAGUGUACCAGUAGUCUGACUCUGUGGUGGCCAGGUGUUGGACUUCAUGAUCUUGAUGGGUCCCUUCCAACUCAGCAUGAUUCAAGAAUCUUGGGGUAAUUCUGCAUGGAAUACAGAAAAAAACCCAACUAAUUUAGUAGCUGGUUGUUUUUUGUCCUUGAGCUCUGUCUUCCAUUCUCUUAGAACAAUCAGAUCACUGGUAAGAACUUUUUUGUAUUUUUUCAGAUUGGAGGAUCUUCUGAAUCUUAUGGUUUAAAGAUGCCUUUAAAAUAAAAGAGCCUAGUUUUUACAGGCAGUUUUGUCAUCUCAGAUCAGUGAGAUUGGUUACCUUGGAAGAAGAAAAGACAGAUUAUGGGCCCAUAUUAGGAGUUGGAAGACUUCAGGAUAACAUAGAGAUAUAUCAUUCAGAGGGAGCUGGAAAUUCUUAGUCAUUUGUUUUAAUAGUUUAUUAUUAAAUAUCUGCAAGAAUCUGUCCCACACUGAGCAAUCUAGUUUCCCUGUAGAUCUUUACCAAGAAUGAGGCAAAAAUUCCUUUCCUGUUAAGAGGGACCAAAAGAGGUAAAUAGCUGAAACUAUGAAAUUAGAUCUAUGCCAUGGAUAGCAGUAAUGAGUUAUAAUGUUCAACCUGCUGAGGUUAAGUAAUCAAAAUUUCUUGCUGACACUGAGGAAGGAGUACUUCAAUGAAAACUUGAGGGAAAGGAUAGAAUCCUUAUAUGAAAUCUGGCCUAACACAUUAAUAGUAUUCCUGUUUCUCCUAAUUUUGCAGUUCUUGUUGUUCAGGUUUCUCUUGUGCAUUGGGAUGAGGCUGUCAUGCUGGAAAGUUUAAAAUCUAGAAAGUGAAAAUAACAGUGCAUGUUGCUGUAUGUCCCAUAGCAAUAUAAACUGCUGGAUGACUGUGUACUGAAGAAGAGAAAUACAAGUAGGGGUGGUAAUACUCUUUCUUCUUUUUUCUGUUCUUGAUUGCAGGUUAACCUACUGGUUGGAACUUUGAGGGUAAUUCAUUAUGAUAACUUUUUAGUGGGGUAGAUGAGUUUUAAUAUAUUUUUAGUUCAUUUUUAAAGCAAAAUGACCUUGAAUUACCCACUUCCUAUCUCCUUUGGUGACCGUGGAGAUUACCAGUUACUGCUGAACUUUUCUGAAAUAAAGACUUAAUUUGCCUGAAUAGCAUCUUGGGUAUGGUACUCCACCCAGUGAAGAGCCAAAAUGCUGUUCCAUAAAUAAACAUAUGGUUUCUUUAGGCUGAGCUGUGUUGCUCAGCCAGAGGAAUAUGAAACUAUGGUGAUGAAGAAGGGGGUAUCUAACUGCUGCCAUCAUUCUUAGGCAGAGCACACUAAGUUUAUGACUUUUUCGAACUUUGCCUCACAUCUCAGUCUGAACAACCUUCAAUCAGGAUCUGAACUUUAUUUUGGCUCACACCAUUAUCCUUUUUCAGUAAUAUGUCCUCCUCAGAACUCCUUUAGUCAGAUAAAAAUAAUUACCACACAGACUUUCAGUUGUUUGUUUUUCUGAACUAAUUACAUAUGGUAUAUGCGUCCAGUCCUCACUGAAAUUCCAUCUGAGGUGUGUUAGUAACAUUCUACUUUCAUGUAUUUUUAAAAUAAAAAGGCACUUUUUUUUCCUCUUUCUUUACAAUUGGUAAUGUUAGAUUCAGUCUCUUCCAUUGUGUUAGAAUUCGUGUCCCGCUUUAAAAGUAUUUCUCUGUCUUGUGCUGAAUUUGUUAGUUGCACUGUGUAAGUAUUAGUGAUCAAAAGAAGCUGAAUGUAUCUUUUCUGAAAAUACACGGGAAAUGCAGUGUUAAAACUACUUGUGUACACUUCCUACUUGGCUGUAAUUCCUCAUGAUGGAUAUUGUUAACUUGCUGUGCUACAAUGAACUCUGUGUGGGUGUCAAAAGUUCACUGCAGUUCACAGUGGAACUCUUGAUUUUGACUGUGAAGUUUUUCCUGGUGUUUU